GUGCCAGCAGCCGCGGUAAUACGUAGGGGGCAAGCGUUGUCCGGAAUUAUUGGGCGUAAAGCGCGCGCAGGCGGUUCGUUAAGUCUGAUGGUAAAGCCCGGGGCUCAACCCCGGUAUUCAUUGGAAACUGGCGGACUGGAGUGCAGGAGAGGGAAGCGGAAUUCCACGUGUAGCGGUGAAAUGCGUAGAGAUGUGGAGGAACACCAGUGGCGAAGGCGGCUUCCUGGCCUGUAACUGACGCUGAGGCGCGAAAGCGUGGGGAGCAAACAGGAUUAGAUACCCUGGUAGUCCACGCCGUAAACGAUGAGUGCUAGGUGUUGGGGGUUUCGAUACCCUCGGUGCCGAAGUAAACACAGUAAGCACUCCGCCUGGGGAGUACGCUCGCAAGAGUGAA
This 394-nucleotide ribosomal RNA is filed under the name uncultured bacterium. RNAcentral's name for it is "bacterial SSU rRNA". It matches the Rfam family "Bacterial small subunit ribosomal RNA", at positions 505 to 898 of the family's 1533-position model. The record is from RNAcentral.